AUGUUGAAACAAAAAUGGCGCAUUCUAAAACAUUUGCCUAGCUACUCACCUAGUAAGCAAGCAAGGAUUAUCAUCGCUUGUAUGGCACUGCACAACUUCAUCAGAGAUAGUGAUUUGUAUGAUUAUCACUUUGCUAGAUGCAGUGAUGAUGACAACUACUAUCCUCCGGGCCAUGUGGUCAACACAACUGGAGGGAACUAUACGAGAGGUGCAAAUACUACCAUGGACACAACUCGUAACAUGAUUGUUGAUUUUGUGCUGGCAGCGAGAGAGUAG
RNAcentral lists this ribosomal RNA (276 nucleotides) under Triticum aestivum (bread wheat). RNAcentral describes it as "partial small subunit ribosomal RNA". The record is from RNAcentral. Lineage: Eukaryota; Viridiplantae; Streptophyta; Magnoliopsida; Poales; Poaceae.